Molecule: small nuclear RNA, 307 nt
Filed under: Echinops telfairi (small Madagascar hedgehog)
Lineage: Eukaryota; Metazoa; Chordata; Mammalia; Afrosoricida; Tenrecidae
Description: 7SK RNA (ENSETEG00000024280.1)
Rfam family: 7SK RNA
About the family: 7SK was discovered as an abundant small nuclear RNA in the mid-70s but a possible function has only recently been suggested.
Source: RNAcentral
GCAUGUGAGGGAGAACUGGCUGCGACAUCUGACACCCCAUUGAUUGCCAGGGUUGACUCAACUGAUCUGGCUGAUGAAGCAGGUAUCCCCUUCCUCCCUCACCGCUCCAUGUGCAUCCCUCCCAAAGCUGCGCACUCUCCUGAUAGAAGGAGGACCAUCCUUUGGUCAAGCGUAUACGAGCAGUUAUGCUCUCCAAACAAGCCCUCAGAAAGAAAAUAACCCAGCUGUUGUUAUGGUGGUGGUGGUGGUUUUGUGAUCUAACACUCCUAGUAUGCCAUUUGUACAUUGUACAUUACAACCUCCAAAU